UAGGCGGUUUGUCGCGUCGGGAGUGAAAACCUCAUGCUUAACAUGUGGCUUGCAUCCGAUACGGGCAGACUGGAGGUAUGCAGGGGAGAAUGGAAUUCCUGGUGUAGCGGUGAAAUGCGCAGAUAUCAGGAGGAACACCGGUGGCGAAGGCGGUUCUCUGGGCAUUACCUGACGCUGAGGAGCGAAAGUGUGGGGAGCGAACAGGAUUAGAUACCCUGGUAGUCCACACCGUAAACGUUGGGCGCUAGGUGUGGGAUCCAUUCCACGGGUUCCGUGCCGCAGCUAACGCAUUAAGCGCCCCGCCUGGGGAGUACGGCCGCAAGGCUAAAACUCAAAGGAAUUGACGGGGGCCCGCACAAGCGGCGGAGCAUGCGGAUUAAUUCGAUGCAACGCGAAGAACCUUACCUGGGUUUGACAUACGCCGGAAAGCUGCAGAGAUGUGGCCUCCUUUUGGCCGGUGUACAGGUGGUGCAUGGCUGUCGUCAGCUCGUGUCGUGGGAUGUUGGGUUAAGUCCCGCAACGAGCGCAACCCUCGUCCUAUGUUGCCAGCACGUCCUUCGGGGUGGUGGGGACUCAUAGGAGACUGCCGGGGUCAACUCGGAGGAAGGUGGGGAUGACGUCAAGUCAUCAUGCCCCUUAUGUCCAGGGCUUCACGCAUGCUACAAUGGCCGGUACAAAGGGCUGCGAUCCCGUGAGGGGGAGCGAAUCCCAAAAAGCCGGUCUCAGUUCGGAUUGGGGUCUGCAACUCGACCCCAUGAAGUCGGAGUCGCU
Molecule: ribosomal RNA, 771 nt
Filed under: uncultured Nocardioidaceae bacterium
Lineage: Bacteria; Bacillati; Actinomycetota; Actinomycetes; Propionibacteriales; Nocardioidaceae
Description: bacterial SSU rRNA
Rfam family: Bacterial small subunit ribosomal RNA
Source: RNAcentral